Molecule: ribosomal RNA, 500 nt
Filed under: uncultured bacterium
Lineage: Bacteria
Description: partial 16S ribosomal RNA
Rfam family: Bacterial small subunit ribosomal RNA
Source: RNAcentral
AUUGAACGCUGGCGGAAUGCUUUACACAUGCAAGUCGAACGGCAGCACGGACUUCGGUCUGGUGGCGAGUGGCGAACGGGUGAGUAAUGUAUCGGAACGUGCCCAGUCGUGGGGGAUAACGUAGUGAAAAUUACGCUAAUACCGCAUACGAUCUAUGGAUGUAAGCGGGGGAUCGCAAGACCUCGCGCGAUUGGAGCGGCCGAUAUCAGAUUAGGUAGUUGGUGGGGUAAAGGCCCACCAAGCCAACGAUCUGUAGCUGGUCUGAGAGGACGACCAGCCACACUGGAACUGAGACACGGUCCAGACUCCGACGUGAGGCAGCAGUGGGGAAUUUUGGACAAUGGGCGAAAGCCUGGUCCAGCCAUUCCGCGUGCAGGAUGAAGGCCCUCGGGUUGUAAACUGCUUUUGUACAGAACGAAAAGGUUUCUACUAAUACUAGGAGCUCAUGACGGUACUGUAAGAAUAAGCACCGGCUAACUACGUGCCAGCAGCCGCGGUAA